CGGUCGCACCAUGAGCAACCUCCCCGCCGACCGGGAGAGCGGCCCCGCCGACACCGGCCUGCCCGAGGAGGAGGUGAGGACACUCUUUGUCAGCGGGUUGCCUCUGGACAUUAAGCCCCGGGAACUUUACCUGCUCUUCAGGCCCUUUAAGGGGUACGAGGGGUCUCUCAUCAAACUCACCUCCAAGCAGCCCGUGGGCUUCGUCAGCUUCGACAGCCGCUCCGAGGCAGAGGCGGCGAAGAACGCUCUGAACGGCAUCCGCUUCGACCCCGAGAUCCCCCAGACGCUGCGGCUGGAGUUCGCCAAGGCCAACACCAAGAUGGCCAAGAGCAAGCUGGUGGGCACCCCAAACCCCAGCACCCCUUUCCCCACCGCCGUACCUCAGUUCAUCGCCCGGGAGCCCUAUGAGCUCACAGUGCCUGCACUUUACCCCAGUAGCCCUGAAGUGUGGGGGCCGUACCCUCUGUACCCAGCGGAAUUAGCACCUGCUCUACCUCCUCCUGCUUUCACCUAUCCCGCUUCACUGCACGCCCAGAUGCGCUGGCUCCCUCCUUCCGAGGCUGGUUCUCAGGGCUGGAAGUCCCGUCAGUUCUGCUGAAUGCCGGGUCUCAGGUGUGUGAUGGUGGCCUACAGUCAGUCUUGUGGGUAUUAGUGGAGUCUUCCAAGGCGGCUACUGGGGUGACGUGCUCUCCGCCGGACCACAGUGUGCUGGCUUGAAAAAAAACCCUCACACGAGUUUGGAUUCCUCCAAGACUUUCCCACAGCCUCUAUCACACAUCUGCUCUCCUAGAAGAAAAACAUUACCUAGUAAUAAUAUUUUCCUCUUUUACACUGUAUAUUUGUAAGGAAGAGUGUGUUGCUCCCGAAAGCAUGGUUUGACAGGCAUUGUUGUAGUGUUUGAACUUUUCAAACAGAACCAUACGAAAGCAGACUAAAACGAGAGCCAAGUAUUUUUGUACCAAAGCUCCUCAAAGAGGACAAUCUUACACCGGGUUGGACCACAGGCUUCGUGCUUGACUUUUGGAAGGUGUGUAAUUAAGAGUCUUAUAUUGUCCCCCGGCCCCCCGUCAGCUGCAUGUCGAAGGCAUGACGUUCACGUGUGUGCAGAUGUCGAGACACACCACGGGGGUUACAGGAACUGUGCUCCAGCCGUGUCGGCGAGACGUCCGUGGACACUGCAGUAUUACUGUCUUCUUCCCAGUUGUACCAAAUGACAACCAGGCAGGACAAUCAGGAACGUUCUUCCGGUGGUUUUUUUGUACCUUAGGGCUGUGUUCGUAGCUGCUGCGCAAAGCUUCCGCGGGGUGCAACGGCUCGGAUCAGGGAUGGGCACACGGCCCGCACAUGUAGCAAGGUGACAACUUGCCUCCUCCUCUUCUUCCUCUUCCUCCUGCCAUGGCUGCUUCAAGCUGUUACAGGCAACGUAAACUGCUGUAUGAGAAAAACUCUUCCUGCUACGCCGAAGCGCUGGACUGGGGUUUUAGCACCGAGGUUAUGCCAGUCCGGCCGCUCGCUGCGUGGCAUUCCCAUGUUUCCAUGUGCAAAGACAAGAAGGGAAGCUGCCAACACCCUUUACGGAGGUAGUGUACCAGCAAAGAGACUGCUUGAUGUACUAGUUGCUCCUUCUCCUUGCUCCAGGAGGAAUUUGCAGAAAGAAAUGAACAGAGCAAACCAACCCAAAACCUCAUAUCAGGUCUCGGUUUCUUGCAAAGGGAGGUGCAAAGCUCCUCCUUCCAUUUCCUUCCCCUGUCCUCAUUCCAGCUGCAAGGAACAGUGAGCUCAGCCACUGCCCAGGCCUCACUGUAGCUGGUUUCCCAGCUGUCCAUGGCCUCAUUCAGCAUCAUCACCUUUUCCUUCCUCCUUCCUCUCGUCCUGUGGGUGGGCCAAAAUAAAGACAGUUGAGAUUUUGGCUGUCAGGGUGGGGCAGGGGGAUGAGAAAAUGGGAUUUUUCGUGCUGGGCAACUGUCCCGUUGGAGUCUUCUGUAAAAAAUGGGACUGAUGUCCA
RNA transcript from Pipra filicauda (Wire-tailed manakin), 2005 nucleotides. It is a transcript of the gene named RNA binding protein, mRNA processing factor, with no coding region annotated. NCBI's taxonomy places the organism in Eukaryota, Metazoa, Chordata, Aves, Passeriformes, Pipridae. The record is from RefSeq and is a predicted model, not a curated record. The transcript has 9 exons.